This 77-nucleotide transfer RNA is filed under the name Dehalococcoidales bacterium. RNAcentral's name for it is "tRNA-Arg". It matches the Rfam family "tRNA". From Rfam's summary of the family: Transfer RNA (tRNA) molecules are approximately 80 nucleotides in length. Lineage: Bacteria; Bacillati; Chloroflexota; Dehalococcoidia; Dehalococcoidales. The record is from RNAcentral.
CUCCCUGUAGCUCAGCUGGACAGAGCAACUGCCUUCUAAGCAGUGGGUCGAGAGUUCGAAUCUCUCCGGGGAGGCCA